Molecule: ribosomal RNA, 254 nt
Filed under: uncultured bacterium
Lineage: Bacteria
Description: partial 16S ribosomal RNA
Rfam family: Bacterial small subunit ribosomal RNA
Source: RNAcentral
UACAGAGGGUGCAAGCGUUGUUCGGAAUUAUUGGGCGUAAAGGGCGCGUAGGCGGUCGUGACAAGUCACUUGUGAAAUCUCCGGGCUUAACUCGGAACGGUCAAGUGAUACUGUCGGACUAGAGUACAGAAGGGGCAACUGGAAUUCUCGGUGUAGCGGUGAAAUGCGUAGAUAUCGAGAGGAACACCUGCGGCGAAGGCGGGUUGCUGGGCUGAUACUGACGCUGAGGCGCGAAAGCUAGGGGAGCAAACGGG